This 29-nucleotide non-coding RNA is filed under the name Mus musculus (house mouse). The record is from RNAcentral. Lineage: Eukaryota; Metazoa; Chordata; Mammalia; Rodentia; Muridae.
UGAGUUCCCAUUGAUUUGACACAGAUGCU